CCAGAACCUCCGGGUUCGGGGUCCGGGUUCGGUGCCCGGGGACGGAGCGGUUCUGCAG
Oreochromis aureus is the source of this 58-nucleotide microRNA precursor. Lineage: Eukaryota; Metazoa; Chordata; Actinopteri; Cichliformes; Cichlidae. The record is from Ensembl.